Molecule: long non-coding RNA, 573 nt
Filed under: Homo sapiens (human)
Lineage: Eukaryota; Metazoa; Chordata; Mammalia; Primates; Hominidae
Description: HSALNT0354995
Source: RNAcentral
CUCCUGACCUUGUGAUCCACUAGCUUCGGCCUCCCGAAGUUCUGGGAUUACAGGCAUGAGCCACCACACCCGGAUGAAUUAUGCCAUUUUUAAGGCAAAGGUCUCCGUAACUAUUAAUUUCUCUGUCCUUCUAAUCUGUAUUCCCUGAGAAAUUAAUUGGGCUGGCAAGUCAAAGCCCUGAACCCCAGCUGCAGCUUUCUGAGCUUGUUCUGUCCAUCUGUGAAGUAAGGCAAUGAGAAGUGAGUCGGGGAACGGAACCCACGAUGCGUCAGAGGAGUGUUCCAGUUGCACACACACUCCCCAGCCACCUGGCAGCUCAGUCUAUAAUCUGGAGGCUUCCACAUCUACAGCUCCAUACAAAUGAACCUCUGGUUCUAAAGAAGUUUCUUCCUUGUCUGGUUCUCACUUUCUAAACCUCAGUCUCUGGAGAGAAAAGGAGUCCUGGAGGAUGAACAAGGCGAGCUUGGAGUAAUUUGGAAAAGCUAAUGUUGUAGGACAGAAGCAAAGCCUGCAAGUCACAGCCUAGGUUCCCUGAGUGAUGUUUUCAGCAGUAAACUGCAACUUCAAAGCUAA